Small nucleolar RNA from Onychomys torridus (southern grasshopper mouse), 71 nucleotides. RefSeq annotates it as small nucleolar RNA SNORD34. Lineage: Eukaryota; Metazoa; Chordata; Mammalia; Rodentia; Cricetidae. The transcript has a single exon. The record is from RefSeq and is a predicted model, not a curated record.
UUCCGUCUGUGAUGUUCUGUUAUUACCUACAUUGUUUGAGUCUCAUGAAAACUCCACUGGCUGAGACAUCU